AUUGAACGCUGGCGGCAUGCCUUACACAUGCAAGUCGAACGGCAGCAUAGGAGCUUGCUCCUGAUGGCGAGUGGCGAACGGGUGAGUAAUAUAUCGGAACGUGCCCUAGAGUGGGGGAUAACUAGUCGAAAGAUUAGCUAAUACCGCAUACGAUCUACGGAUGAAAGUGGGGGAUCGCAAGACCUCAUGCUCCUGGAGCGGCGGAUAUCUGAUUAGCUAGUUGGUGGGGUAAAAGCCUACCAAGGCGACGAUCAGUAGCUAGUCUGAGAGGACGACCAGCCACACUGGGACUGAGACACGGCCCAGACUCCUACGGGAGGCAGCAGUGGGGAAUUUUGGACAAUGGGGGCAACCCUGAUCCAGCAAUGCCGCGUGAGUGAAGAAGGCCUUCGGGUUGUAAAGCUCUUUUGUCAGGGAAGAAACGGUUCUGGAUAAUACCCUGGGGUCAUGACGGUACCGUAAGAAUAAGCACCGGCUAACUACGUGCCAGCAGCCGCAGUAA
This 502-nucleotide ribosomal RNA is filed under the name uncultured bacterium. RNAcentral's name for it is "partial 16S ribosomal RNA". It matches the Rfam family "Bacterial small subunit ribosomal RNA", at positions 30 to 523 of the family's 1533-position model. The record is from RNAcentral.